AGAGUGGUAGUAUAAGAGUAUCCAUAGUUUCGGCCUAUGAGGUAGACGUGUGUCUUCAUUCUU
This 63-nucleotide transfer RNA is filed under the name Lyrodus sp. FL G0. Its description in RNAcentral is "tRNA-Arg". Lineage: Eukaryota; Metazoa; Mollusca; Bivalvia; Myida; Teredinidae. The record is from RNAcentral.